Small nuclear RNA from Ochotona princeps (American pika), 154 nucleotides. Its record names the gene U4. It matches the Rfam family "U4 spliceosomal RNA". Rfam says of the family: U4 small nuclear RNA (U4 snRNA) is a component of the major U2-dependent spliceosome. The record is from Ensembl. NCBI's taxonomy places the organism in Eukaryota, Metazoa, Chordata, Mammalia, Lagomorpha, Ochotonidae.
AGCUUUGCAUAGGGGCAGUAUCGUAGCCAAUGACGUUUAUCCGUGGUGCGAUUAUUGCUAAUUGAAAACUUUUUCCCCAUUUUUGUUUUCCUUUUAUAAAAAGACAGUAAAUGGAAGCCAAGUGUUUCUCCCCGAGGCCCCAGCUAAUUUUUGG